Molecule: ribosomal RNA, 435 nt
Filed under: uncultured Pasteurellaceae bacterium
Lineage: Bacteria; Pseudomonadati; Pseudomonadota; Gammaproteobacteria; Pasteurellales; Pasteurellaceae
Description: bacterial SSU rRNA
Rfam family: Bacterial small subunit ribosomal RNA
Source: RNAcentral
AACGCGAAGAACCUUACCUGGUCUUGACAUCCACAGAAUCUUGCAGAGAUGCGAGAGUGCCUUCGGGAACUGUGAGACAGGUGCUGCAUGGCUGUCGUCAGCUCGUGUUGUGAAAUGUUGGGUUAAGUCCCGCAACGAGCGCAACCCCUAUCCUUUGUUGCCAGCACGUAGAGGUGGGAACUCAAAGGAGACUGCCGUUGAUAAAGCGGAGGAAGGUGGGGACGACGUCAAGUCAUCAUGGCCCUUACGACCAGGGCUACACACGUGCUACAAUGGCGUAUACAAAGGGCUGCGAAGGUGCGAACUGGAGCGAACCUCAUAAAGUACGUCUAAGUCCGGAUUGGAGUCUGCAACUCGACUCCAUGAAGUCGGAAUCGCUAGUAAUCGUGAAUCAGAAUGUCACGGUGAAUACGUUCCCGGGUCUUGUACACACCG